Molecule: long non-coding RNA, 1197 nt
Filed under: Manacus vitellinus (golden-collared manakin)
Lineage: Eukaryota; Metazoa; Chordata; Aves; Passeriformes; Pipridae
Description: lncRNA (ENSMVIG00005008398.1)
Source: RNAcentral
AUGAAGUCAUCGCUCCCCAGGUCCCUGAGCAGAGCCAGCACCCCAGGGACAGGCAAGAGCUGUUCCCUGGCCAUGCCUUCCCCUCCCAUCCACCACUCAGCUGGGAAUCCCAGUGCUGGGAGCUCAGUGCUCUGGGAUGGCCUCCAGGACCACCUGGCUGGAUCCCCACUGGGUCUGGGGGCACAGGAAGGCGCAGCCUCCCUUUCCCGCUCCCCCCCUGUAACUCUGGGUUACCCAACACCUGAAUCUCUGAGUAUCCACAUCCCCAGGAAGUUUGCAGCCUGGCACUGUCACCCCUCCCUGCCCACACUCCUGGGAGCUCACAGCCCAUGGAUACACCUCUAUCCCCUGGUACCCUCCCCCAGGUCUCCCCAUCCCUCUCAUCUCUAUCCCGCCCUCAUCCUGCUCUACUUGCAGCCCCUUGGAGCCCACAUCCCACCUCCCCUGGCACCUUUUCCCCCUGUACCCCCACCCCGCAGUACUGGCACCCCCUGGCACUCCCACCGCUCCGGUAAUUCCCAUCCCGGUACUUCCCAUCUCUGGUACCCCCCAUCCCCAGUAUCCCCAUCCGUGGUACCCCGUCCGCGGUACCUCCACCCCUAUAUCCCCAUCCCUGGUAUCCCCAUCCCAAGUAUCCCCAUCCCGGGUAUCCCCAUCCCGGGUAUCCCCAUCCCAAGUAAUCCCCAUCCCCGGUCCCCCGCGCCCGCGGAGCUCCCCGCGCAUCCUCACCGGGGCGGAGGCGUUGAUCUCCGCUGCGGGAUGCGCUGCGCUCCGCUCCCGCCGCCGGCCUUCCCGCCCGCGCGGAUCGCCGGGAGCUGUAGUCCAGGAUCAGCAUCCCAAAGCGCCGGCCAAGCGGGAAAAGUGCCGCUUCCCAGCGGUUUAUUCCGGAAAAGCCGGCGCGCGCUGCCCUGCGCGGCGGGGACGGUGCCACCGGGGAUGCGCGUGGUGGAUCCAGCACCUCCCAUCCCCUCAAAUCCCGUCUUUUCCUCGGGAGCCGGAGCGCAUCCAGGGAUGUGGGUGCCCUCAGGAGGGGGAUCAGCCCAAACGGGAGCCCCAAAGCCAUGGACGGGGUGCCCGGGGGGUGAGGGGGGGGCUCCUGCCCCACUCAGAAUGGGAAUGGGGAGAGGAGAUGCUCGGGGGAUGCAGGAUUUCCCUCCGGAGCUGGGAAUGGCUCUGAGGAGGCGUCUCCUGCCGUGA